Molecule: ribosomal RNA, 508 nt
Filed under: uncultured bacterium
Lineage: Bacteria
Description: partial 16S ribosomal RNA
Rfam family: Bacterial small subunit ribosomal RNA
Source: RNAcentral
GACGAACGCUGGCGGCGUGCUUAACACAUGCAAGUCGAACGGGAUAAUUUGAGAGCUUGCUCUUCGAGAAUCUAGUGGCAAACGGGUGAGUAACACGUAGACAACCUGCCGACAGGAUGGGGACAACAUUCCGAAAGGAAUGCUAAUACCGAAUGAAGCGGAGGAGAGGCAUCUCUCCUCCGUGAAAGAUGGCCUCUGAAUAUGCUAUCACCUGUCGAUGGGUCUGCGUCUGAUUAGCUAGUUGGUGAGGUAACGGCUCACCAAGGCGACGAUCAGUAGCCGGUCUGAGAGGAUGAACGGCCACAUUGGGACUGAGACACGGCCCAGACUCCUACGGGAGGCAGCAGUGGGGAAUCUUCCGCAAUGGGCGCAAGCCUGACGGAGCAACGCCGCGUGAGUGAAGAAGGUCUUCGGAUCGUAAAGCUCUGUUGACGGGGACGAACGUGCGAAGGGUGAAUAAUCCUUUGUAAUGACGGUACCUGUCGAGGAAGCCACGGCUAACUACGUG